RNAcentral lists this microRNA precursor (156 nucleotides) under Pelobates cultripes (western spadefoot toad). Lineage: Eukaryota; Metazoa; Chordata; Amphibia; Anura; Pelobatidae. The record is from RNAcentral.
GCACACCUGCCAAUCAGCAGCAGACCCUCCCUCCCAGCCCUCCCACCUCCUGGACAGCAUCCAUUUUACAUUCAUUGUGAAGCUGCAUUCUUAGUGAGCUGUCCAGGAGGUGGGAGGGUCUGGGAGGGAGGGUCUGCUGCUGAUUGGCUGGAAUGU